RNAcentral lists this ribosomal RNA (477 nucleotides) under uncultured bacterium. RNAcentral describes it as "partial 16S ribosomal RNA". It matches the Rfam family "Bacterial small subunit ribosomal RNA", at positions 28 to 523 of the family's 1533-position model. The record is from RNAcentral.
GACGAACGCUGGCGGCGUGCUUAACACAUGCAAGUCGAACGGUAAGGCCCUUCGGGGUACACGAGUGGCGAACGGGUGAGUAACACGUGGGUGAUCUGCCCUGCACUUCGGGAUAAGCCUGGGAAACUGGGUCUAAUACCGGAUAGGACUCCGGACUGCAUGGUCUGAGGUGGAAAGCUUUUGCGGUGUGGGAUGGGCCCGCGGCCUAUCAGCUUGUUGGUGGGGUGAUGGCCUACCAAGGCGACGACGGGUAGCCGGCCUGAGAGGGUGAACGGCCACACUGGGACUGAGAUACGGCCCAGACUCCUACGGGAGGCAGAAGUGGGGAAUAUUGACAAUGGGCGCAAGCCUGAUGCAGCGACGCCGCGUGAGGGAUGACGGCCUUCGGGUUGUAAACCUCUUUCAGCAUCGACGAAGCGAAAGUGACGGUAGGUGCAGAAGAAGGACCGGCCAACUACGUGCCAGCAGCCGCGGUAA